GAUGAACGCUGGCGGCGUGCCUAACACAUGCAAGUCGAGCGAAGCACUUUGCUUGGAUUCUUCGGAUGAAGAGGAUUGUGACUGAGCGGCGGACGGGUGAGUAACGCGUGGGUAACCUGCCUCAUACAGGGGGAUAACAGUUAGAAAUGACUGCUAAUACCGCAUAAGACCACAGGGUCGCAUGACCCGGUGGUAAAAACUCCGGUAGGUAUGAGAUGGACCCGCGUCCUGAUUAGCUAGUUGGUGGGGUAACGGCUCACCAAGGCGACGAUCAGUAGCCGACCUGAGAGGGUGACCGGCCACAUUGGGACUGAGACACGGCCCAA
Molecule: ribosomal RNA, 326 nt
Filed under: uncultured bacterium
Lineage: Bacteria
Description: bacterial SSU rRNA
Rfam family: Bacterial small subunit ribosomal RNA
Source: RNAcentral